CCUACGGGUGGCUGCAGUGAGGAAUAUUGGUCAAUGGGCGGGAGCCUGAACCAGCCAAGUCGCGUGAGGGACGAAGGUACUGAGUAUUGUAAACCUCUUUUGCCAGGGGACAAAGGCGGCCACGGGUGGCCGUAAGAGGGUACCUGGAGAAAAAGCAUCGGCUAACUCCGUGCCAGCAGCCGCGGUAAUACGGAAGGUCCGGGCGUUAUCCGGAUUUAUUGGGUUUAAAGGGAGCGUAGGCGGCAUGUCAAGGGAGCUGUGAAAGGUCCGGGCUCAACCCGGGCAUUGCAGCGCGAACUGGCGUGCUUGAGUCCGCGGAAAGCAGGCGGAAUUCGUGGUGUAGCGGUGAAAGGCGUAGAUAGGACGAAGAACCCCGAUUGCGAAGGCAGCUUGCUGCAGCGGAACUGACGCUGAUGCUCGAAAGCGCGGGUAUCGAACAGGAUUAGAUACCCUAGUAGUC
Molecule: ribosomal RNA, 460 nt
Filed under: uncultured bacterium
Lineage: Bacteria
Description: partial 16S ribosomal RNA
Rfam family: Bacterial small subunit ribosomal RNA
Source: RNAcentral